UCGUCAAGUCCGCUUAUGCGGAUUGCAGC
This 29-nucleotide small RNA is filed under the name Bombyx mori (domestic silkworm). Its description in RNAcentral is "ovarian small RNA-29212". The record is from RNAcentral. Lineage: Eukaryota; Metazoa; Arthropoda; Insecta; Lepidoptera; Bombycidae.